GCACCGAGGCGCCACGGCGCAUGCUCGACUCUCUUUUAUGAAUGGGGGGCUGGAGGAAGCCUGGCUGCGAGCCGCGGAGGACGGAUCCGGCUCUCGCUCGCUGUUUGCGUGUCCCCCUCCCCCGCUUUAUUUAUUUAAUUUUGUGAAUGGAGGGCAGGCGGUGACAGCUGCGCACGUACCGCGCCCUCCGCCCGGCCUGAAGGGAGGAUCAAAGCCCGGGGAGGACCCUUCAGCUGUUUGCUUUUCCUUUAUGCAGAAACUUUACCGCGGCUGCCCUAAAAACACCACCAAACACAAUCAAGAAUCCCUCCCCAGAAAAGCAAAUGAUUUCCCACAGCCUGAAGUAAGGUGCUGGAUAUCUGCUGGCAUUUCUCCCCCUCUGCUUGCAGCUGCCCUGCACAGCAGGAGAGCCUGGAGUGAUGGGGCUGCAUGGCGCAGUGUCAGCUUUCGGCUCCUCGGGUCCCACGUCCUGCAGGGCUACAGUUCAUACCGAGGAGCGCGAGCAUCAAAGAGGAGAUGGUGA
Coturnix japonica (Japanese quail) is the source of this 523-nucleotide long non-coding RNA. NCBI's taxonomy places the organism in Eukaryota, Metazoa, Chordata, Aves, Galliformes, Phasianidae. The record is from Ensembl.